RNAcentral lists this non-coding RNA (21 nucleotides) under Caenorhabditis elegans. The record is from RNAcentral. Lineage: Eukaryota; Metazoa; Nematoda; Chromadorea; Rhabditida; Rhabditidae.
UCAUAGACAAUCGUGAAGGCU